This 937-nucleotide long non-coding RNA is filed under the name Bos grunniens (domestic yak). RNAcentral's name for it is "lncRNA (ENSBGRG00000006281.1)". The record is from RNAcentral. Lineage: Eukaryota; Metazoa; Chordata; Mammalia; Artiodactyla; Bovidae.
AUGACGUCACCGGCGGCGGCAGGCCCCGCCCCGGCCCCGGGCGGCAGGCCGCAUGACGUCACCGAGGCCCCACCCCUCCGGAGCGAGUUCGGUCCUGGCGUUCAUUUCAUUCCUGUCCUCAUUCCGAACAUUCUUAGCAUCGCUCGCGCCGUGCCGCGCCGCCCGAGCCGAGCCGAGCCUCUGCAGCCGCCGCCGCGGCCCCGCCGCCCGCCGCGGGCGCCCAUCAAGCACUUUGCAGACUCGCUUCCACCCUGCGGGCCAGUCCGCGCGGCGGGGCCCGGGCUCGGGGCGGCCGCGUCCGGGGACAGGCCAUGCAGUGAAUCCCCCCCACCCCGUCCACCUUUGCCCGGAGCCGCGGGCAGGAGCCCAGUUCGUCCAGCCGGCCCCGGGGCAGGAGCGGUGCUAGGCAGGGGUGGGGUGGCCCAGCCCGGGGAUCGGGAAUCGGGGAGGGAGCCGGGCUCCGAGCUGAAGGCGGGGGAAGCGGCGCCGAAGUUUGCCUCGGACUCGCCAGGCGCUGCGGCGGCUCCCUUCGCCGAGGACUGUUGCUGCCGCCGCCGCCGCUUCAUUGCACAUUCAAGUGGAAAAUUUUCAGGAGUCAGCAGAAACAUUGUGUCCAAAAAAGACUGAGUCGCAGUUACCACCAAAUCCUGGAGGAGACUCUCCCUGGAAAACUUCCCUUCGGUUUAUUUUCUUGAAAAGGCUCCAGGCUUCGGCUUGGAAAAUCCAACCGCCAAAAUUGAGCCCAGCAGCUGGAGCGGCAGUGAGAGCCCUGCCGAAAACAUGGAAAGGAUGAGUGACUCUGCAGAUAAGCCUAUUGACAAUGAUGCAGAAGGGGUCUGGAGCCCCGACAUUGAGCAGAGCUUUCAGGAAGCCUUGGCUAUCUAUCCACCAUGCGGGAGGAGGAAAAUCAUCUUAUCAGACGAAGGCAAGAUGUAUG